CCACGCAUAGACGACGACGCGGACAACGCAAAAGCGUUACACGGCAGCGAGGCACCAUUGGCGUAAAGGCGGCCCUCCCCCAGUCCCUUUUCGCUGCCACCCAUACACACAUAGACGUUAUUGAAAGCAUACAGGCGUUGCAUAGACGCUGCUCAGCGCAGCCUCCAGCCACUUCCCUCGCGCCCCACCCGUGGCGCGUGCGUUUCGAGGGUCUGUGAAACAGAUCUGCUCGUGUGCGCGUUGUGCACGCCACCGCAUUGGCCGAGCAGCCUGUGACGCACUCGCAGACAGACACGGCGAGAGAGAGAGAGCGCCGAGGAGGCUGGCCGAAACCGUCAAAUUCAGAGAGAAAGAGAGAAGGGAGCAGGCGUGUGUUGACUAUCUGCAUCAUCAUAGAAGCUUUAACGACACGACUCUUUAUUUGCAAGUCUCUAUCUAUAUAAAUGUGUUGGGUGUGUUGAGCCUGCGUCUGUGUCUCCUGUUCCCAGAAGCAGAUACCGGGCUUGGACAGAGCCGCCCGCACCCACCGGAGCACAGAAAGGCAGAGACAGACAAGAUCGUGCACGGGCUCGUUCCCUCCCUCCUCCCCAGCACCCACCCACCCCCCACACACAUAUAUAUAUAUAAGCGGUAGAGGAUGACAGACGCUUCCAAGUAUAAGAAGCUCACUCCGAUCGACCAUGUCCUCCUUCGACCGGAGAUGUACGUGGGCAGCAUCGAGACCCAGCCCACGCCCAUGUACAUUUUCGAUCCGGAGAAGGGCAGGAUGGUGUGGGAGACGAUGCGGGUGAACCAAGGUCUCUUGAAGAUCGUGGACGAAAUACUGCUCAACGCGGCGGACAACAUCAACAACAGUAAAGGAUCGGUGCGGCAGACGUACAUCAGCAUCCACAUCUCCGACACGGGCGAGAUCACGGUCGAGAACGACGGGGCUGGCCUCCCCAUUGUGCGUAGCAGGGAGCACAAGAUGUACAUCCCGGAGAUGGUUUUUGGCCACCUGCUGACCAGCUCGAACUACAACAACGACUCGACGUCGACGACAGCGGGUCGGCACGGCUACGGCGCCAAGCUGACGAACAUUCUUUCCACAAAGUUCUCCGUCGUCUGCCGCACUGACGGCCGAGAGUUCCACAUGAGCUGGACGGACCACAUGCGGAUGGCGACGGCUCCGCGCGUGAAUCGGGUCGAUCCGAAGGAGAAGAACGUGACGCGUGUGAAGUUCAUGCCAGACUAUGCGCACUUCGGCUUCCCAAACGCGUCCAUCUCGCUCGACAUGAAGCGGGUGCUGCACAAGCGCAUCAUGGACCUGGCCGCGAUGUUCUCCAAGAUCGAGGUGCGGCUGAACAACGUGCCCUUCGGCUUCCGUACAUUUACCGACUACGCGCGGCUCUACUCGCUACCCGGCCUGGACGGGUCGAUGCCGCCCGAGCCGUUUGUGUACACCAGCCCUAACGGCAGCGUCGCGUAUGUGCCGCAGCUGACGCAGAGCCCGAAGCGCAUCGUCGGCGUCGUGAAUGGCGUCGUCACGUACAAUGGCGGCACGCACUGCAACGCCGCCAUGGACAUCCUAGACUCCUGCCUCGACUCGCUGAGCAAGAAUUUCAAGAAGAACGGCAAGGUGGUGGACACGAACCGGGUGCAGCGUCACUUCACCGUGCUCGUCUUCCUCAUUCAGACGCAACCGAAGUUCGACUCGCAGAGUAAGGCGCGGCUCGUGUCGACAGUGACGAUGCCGCGCGUGCCAAAGAACACGUUGGAGAAAUACCUUGAGCGGAUGCCGUUUCUGGAGGCGCACGUGAACAGCAUGGACGACCAGCUCGCGAAUGAGCUGAACAAGGAGAUCGGCGCGGGCCGGCGGCUGAGCAGCAAGACCCUCAUAUCCGCCAUCACAAAGCUCGUCGACGCCACCUCGUCGCGGCCCGACGGCAGGAACAUCCGCACGCUCAUCAUUACAGAGGGUGACUCGGCGAAGGCGCUCGCCCUCAACUCGCUCUCCAGCGAGCAGAAGAAGUACUGCGGUGUCUUCCCACUGCGUGGCAAGCUGCUGAACGUGCGCAACAAGAACCUGAAGCGGCUCAAGACGUGCAAGGAACUGCAAGACCUCUUCCUCUCGCUCGGACUGGAGCUGGGUAAGGAGUACCGAUCGCCGGCUGAGCUGCGCUAUCAGCGGCUUCUCGUCAUGACGGAUCAAGACGCGGAUGGUUCGCACAUUAAAGGCCUCGUCAUCAACGCCUUCGAGUCGCUGUGGCCGAAGCUCCUGCAGAACAACCCGGGCUACAUCUCCCUCUUCUCGACACCCAUUGUGAAGAUCAAGGUGAGCGGCAAGUCCAAGGAGGUGAUCGCCUUCCACAGCUUCCGCGACUUCCACCGCUGGCAGCGGGCCCACCCGAGUGCGCGCUACACGGCCAAGUACUACAAAGGUCUCGGCACGUCCACCACGGCUGAGGGAAAAGAGUACUUUGCUGACAUGGAGAAGAACAUCAUGCAGCUCACCGUCGACGCGAGGGACCACCAGCUGCUCGAUAGCGUCUUCGACGCGGCCGAGGUGGAGUGGCGCAAGGAGUGGAUGACGAAGGCUAAUGCUUUCCAGGGCGAGAUCGAUAUCGAUCGCAGCAAGAAGACACUGACCAUUCCGGAGUUUGUGCACAAGGAGAUGGUGCACUUCGCGCUCGUCGGCAACGCCCGCGCCAUCCCGCAUUGCGUCGACGGGCUGAAGCCGUCGCAGCGCAAGAUUUUGUGGGCAAUGCUGCGGCGCCACAACUCCGAGGCGUCGAAGGUGGCGCAGCUGUCGGGCUACAUCUCAGAGGCGUCGGCGUUUCACCACGGCGAGGCCUCGCUGCAGGAGACCAUCGUGAAGAUGGCGCAGAACUUCACCGGCGGCAACAACAUCAACCUGCUCGUGCCAGAGGGUCAGUUCGGCUCUCGACAGCAGCUCGGUAACGACCACGCCGCCCCGCGCUACAUUUUCACGAAGCUCAGCCGUUUUGCCCGCCUGCUGUUCCCCGAGGAGGAUGACCCAUUACUGGACUACAUGGACGAGGAGGGCACUUUCGUGGAGCCGCACCACUACGUUCCCAUCCUGCCGAUGCUGCUGUGCAACGGUGCCGUCGGCAUCGGCUUCGGCUUCGCCACGACGAUCCCGUCAUUCCAUCCGCUCGACGUCUCGGCAGCGGUGCGGGCCAUGAUCAACGGCGAGUCGGCCAAGCAGGUGGUGCGCAACCUUGUGCCGUGGGCGGUGGGCUUCCAGGGCACAGUGCGGCGCGGCCCCGACAACGAGUUCAUCGCGGUGGGCAAGUACACAGCGCACCCAAACGGUCGCUUCCACAUUUCGGAAAUUCCGUGGAUGACGAGCAUCGAAGCGUUCCGCCUGCACAUCUCGUCCCUCGCCAGCGCGGAUGUUGUGCAACGCAUCGCCGACUACUCUGGCGCCAACCACAUCGACAUCGACCUCAUCGUGCGCGACGGCUCGCUGACGACAUGGGCGGAGUGCGAGACAGACCUAGCACUGGCGCAGCGUAUCUACAUCAACGGCACCGUCUUUUCGCCAACCGGCACGCUUAGCCCGAUCGACUCAGACCUCUCGCCGGUGCUGCAGUGGCACUACGACCGUCGCCUUGACUUGUACAAGCGCCGCCGCACCCGCAAGAUUGGGCUCAUGGAGAUGGAUCUCGCCCGGCUGCAGUCGACGCGCAAGUUCGUCGAGCACUUCCGGCAGGGUCAGAUUGACUUCCUGAAUGCGACAGACGACACGCUCCACAAGACAUGCGUGAAGCUCGGCCUCGUGCGCGUGGACGAGAGCUUCGACUACAUCUUGAAGAAGCCUAUCACCUUCUUCACCCGCACGAGCACCGAGAAACUCCAGGCAGACAUAGCCAAGACGCAGGCGCAGAUUGAGGAACUGAAGAGGACGACGCCGGUGAAGAUGUGGUUGACGGAGCUUGACAAGUUCGACAAGACCUUUCAGGAGUACGAGCGCGUGCUCAUCAACUCGAUUCAGAAGGAGCAGCGCUCGUCUAGCAUCACGGGCGGGGUAGAGCUGCCGGCGCUUCGGCAGCCGCUGCUGAUGCUGGAGGCAUCUGCGAAGGACGCGACGGCGUAUCGCGUGCACGCCUGCCAGUACGAGAAGCCGCCGCCGAGCAAGCGCCGCCCUGGGGAGUCCGUCGGUGGCGCUAGGCCGUCGGAUAGCGCCGCGCGCACUGUGGGGAAGCGGCUGGUCGGUUCCCGCUCAGUAUUCAAAAAUAAGAAGCCGAUGAGCAGAAAGAGCAACGUCAAGGUGAGCCUAUCGACGCGGGUGGCGCAGUUUGCCGGCGCGCAACUCGGUCGUCUGCUGCCACAUGUUUUGAUGUAAGGGGAGCAUGUGAAGCGGGUGCAUGCGGCUGGCCGGUGUGCGUCCGGUUUUGUGCGUCUCUCUCUGAAAAGCGGACGGGAGGGAGAGGGAGACGUCGAGCAGCUGUGGAGGCCGCCGCUUGCUUGCCCCCUCGUCUUCCUCUAGCCUCUGCAUAUGUGCUUGUGUGUGUGUGUGUGUGUUUGUUCGAAGCUCUAGAAGAAACCGAAGUGACAGAGGUGGGAAGUGGAGGGGGGCUUUUGUCGACAUCGCAACGUCGGCAAGCAAGCGAAGUAAAACGAAUCCCACCGCCUGAACGGCAGCGCACGCGCUGCUGUACGACUGGAAAACUGAGCGCGAGCCUCCGUCCGCACCCACACACCCCUUCUUCGUCAGCCUUUUCGUUGGCGCUCUCCCUGAGAGCGCUGCUGCUGCUGCUUGCCUGCGUGCUUGCGAGGUUGCGCGGCGUUGUGUGCGUGAGCGCAUUCGCUGCUCAGCAUCUCCCUCCUUUCGGGUAAUUCUUUGUAGCGGGUGGAGGGGGGAUGGGCAAGGUAAGGGAUGUGGCGUUGCGUGGCACGUCGCCCUGCUGCCCCCCCCCACCUCUCUCUCCCUCGUGUCCUCUUCCCAUAUGGCAUAUAAAGCAGCAACGGCAGCAAGGAAGAG
This 4987-nucleotide unclassified non-coding RNA is filed under the name Leishmania donovani. Its description in RNAcentral is "gene:LdHU3.15.1620(CDS-product:mitochondrial_DNA_ topoisomerase_II)". Lineage: Eukaryota; Euglenozoa; Kinetoplastea; Trypanosomatida; Trypanosomatidae. The record is from RNAcentral.